Molecule: transfer RNA, 90 nt
Filed under: uncultured Woeseiaceae bacterium
Lineage: Bacteria; Pseudomonadati; Pseudomonadota; Gammaproteobacteria; Woeseiales; Woeseiaceae
Description: Ser tRNA
Rfam family: tRNA
About the family: Transfer RNA (tRNA) molecules are approximately 80 nucleotides in length.
Source: RNAcentral
GGAGAGGUGCCAGAGUGGUCGAAUGGGCUUGAUUCGAAAUCAAGAGUACGGUUAUCCGUACCGUGGGUUCGAAUCCCACCCUCUCCGCCA